Molecule: long non-coding RNA, 366 nt
Filed under: Cavia porcellus (domestic guinea pig)
Lineage: Eukaryota; Metazoa; Chordata; Mammalia; Rodentia; Caviidae
Description: lncRNA (ENSCPOG00000034904.1)
Source: RNAcentral
CUCCCGUUGCAGAUAGCGAGCACCCCAGCACAGGGUCUGGCCGGCCCAUCGCAGCUCAGGGGCCUCUGGGCGACUCUUGGCGGUGUGGGAAGCGUGUGCCCGCGCACCUGGCAAAGUUGCACACCCGCAAGCUCCCUGGGUGUCCCGAGCUGCGGCGCGACCACCUCCUCCGAGAGGGUCUCGGACCGGCUGAGCUGAUGCUGUGCCUGUGAUGAGAUGAAGUGAACGGCAAUGUGACACACAGUUAGCUGCUAACCAGGUGGUUAAAUGACUACCACGAAAGGGUUGGACAGAAUGAGAUGGAAAGAAUGAUCCCAUCACACUACUCAGAAUGGUGCGUGAUAAAACUUAUGAAUUGUUUGUUUC